Long non-coding RNA from Mus caroli (Ryukyu mouse), 435 nucleotides. RefSeq lists it as uncharacterized. NCBI's taxonomy places the organism in Eukaryota, Metazoa, Chordata, Mammalia, Rodentia, Muridae. The record is from RefSeq and is a predicted model, not a curated record.
AUGGGUAGGUUGCCUUUACUCCCGUGGGUCCCAUCUCGCUUCUCAUUCUGUGCAGGAGGAUCCUUUGUGAGGUUGGCUGUAGAGGUGGGGGUCUGGCCCAUCAGCCUACCCUCCUGCCUACCCAGAGAAGCUAACAUUUAAUGGUACUCAUGAUGUGGGAGGCUUCGAGUGUUCGUGUUAUAUACCCUCUCGACUGUCAAGUCCUCACUGCAGUUCUGUGUGGGGCUGAUGCUGUUGUUAUCCUGGCUUACAGAAGAGGAAACCGAGGAGUCCUUACAAGAAAGAACACUGAUUUUGACGAACACCCAAAAUACUGUGAGCUCAGGCUCAUGUGUUAUGCAUGAGGUCUGAUUUAACAUGAACACUAUUUCUUGUGUACGAGACCAUAUGCCUCCGUGCUGUCUCUGCAGCCUAAUAAAACCCAGACCCACCCUG